ACUCAACAACAAGGUUUAAAUUCGAACUUAGAUUGUUCAUCAGCCGAGGUGAUCUUAAAAGUGUGUAGUGUGCUUUGAUUUUAGUUAGGAAAAAUAAUAGUAGUGGUAUGGUAUCAAUUCGACUAGCUUGUUUCGCGGUUAAAAGUGGACCGAAAUGGGCCAAUCCGUUCUUCCUUCGGCCGCGCGGGAUUUGUCCAUGGGCCGCUUGUUACCAACCCACUUCACUUCAUAGACCUCAGUGACCCGAAAAUGAAUGAAACAAAUCAAACAAUGACGAUUUCAGAAAUUGAAGGCUUUGAAGCAGUGUGUAGAGGCAGUAGAGACGAAGGCAGAAAGGGAGAGAGAAAGAGCAAUCGACAUCCACAAGUUUUGAUUUGAUCUUUAUUCUUGGAUUUCCUCUUGUCAUUUUCAACUGUUCUGACCUUCAAAAGUUGUGCUUUAUUUGGAAUUCUUGUGCAAUUCAUGGGGGUUGUUUUCUCUAUUUCUAUGGCAUCGAUAAGAUUCGUGUGCUUAUCUAUGGAUCAAAGAUUCACAGUAUAGUCAUCAGUAACAAAGUCAGGAAAUCAUUCUUUGUUGCCUUGUUGGUCUAAGUAAUCCCCCCCUUUUGGUCCGUGUGAAAUCUUGCACACUACUUGUUCGAUAAUUGGUCAUAGUAAAGUUUAAUGUUCUGGCUACAACGACAAUGUCUUGGAUCACACCCAUUUGGAAAAUCAAGUUAUAUGAGGGUCUCAAUAAUGCACAAGACCGGCGGAGGGAGUAGACCCAAGAAGAAAAUCUACUCCAGAGUCCAUGAACUUGACAGAGCCAUUGAUCUUCAAAAGAAACCAUCCCUAAUAUUGCAGCUCAAGUCUAUCAUUCAAGCACAGAAAACCCAGUCUCUCCUCCUCAGAGACCUUGAAAAGGAAGUUGGGUUUGUUCAGAAAUGGAAUUUCAUGGCUGCUAUUGAGAAGUACCCUACAAUCUUUCAUGUUGAUGGUGGAAAUGGAACACCUCCCGCGGUUACGCUGACAAAUAAAGCACAAAAGAUUGCUGCUGAAGAAAUUAACGCUAGGCAGCUAAUGGAACCCAUUUUGGUUAAGAACCUAAGGAAGUUGCUGAUGUUGUCUAUUGAUUGUCGGCUUCCCCUUGAAACUGUUGAAUUUAUUCGAUCCGCUAUGGGCUUGCCUUGCGACUUUAAGACAUCUAUGAUUGCUAGAUACCCAGAGUAUUUCUCUGUGAAAGAUGUUAAUGGGAGAGGGUAUCUUUGGCUAGAAAAUUGGGAUUCAACUCUUGCAGUAACGGCUAGGGAGGAGAGAUUGGCGUGCGAAGGGAUUUUGGACUCCAUUGAACGAGCAGGAAAGGUUAGAAUCUCGAAAGAUGGUAACUUUCUGGGUCGUUUUGCUUUUCAGUUGAGUUUUCCUGCUGGUUUUAGACCAAACAAGAGUUAUCUUGAAGAAGUCCAGAAGUGGCAGAAAAUGGAAUUUCCUUCUCCAUUCUUGAACGCGAGGAGAUUUGAAUCUGCUGAUCCGAAGGCUCGAAAAAGAAUUGUGGCAGUGCUUCACGAGCUCCUAAGUUUGACCAUGGAGAAGAGGAUGACAACUGCUCAACUGGAAGCAUUUCAUUCGGAGUAUCGGUUGCCUGCUAGAUUGUUGCUGUGCUUAAUCAAGCAUCAUGGUAUUUUUUACAUCACCAAUAAAGGUGCAAAGAGUACUGUUCUCCUUAAAGAGGCUUAUGAUGGAUCAAAUUUGAUUGACAAAUGUCCUCUAUUGGUUUUUCAAGAUAAGUUUGCUGCACUUACUGGUAGGAGAGAUACUGAUUAUUUUUUGGGGGGGAUGCCUUCUUAAGUUUUGAUGUGUCCAUGCCCGCACCUGAGUGAUUUGUCUAUUUUCUUCUUUCGAAUUGGAGUAUUGCUUAAGCAUGUGAGUAGGAGUAUUACUUAAGAACGGGAGGAGGUCCAGCAGCCAUUUCCUUCUCUGUACUUGAAUGCAAGGAGAUUUGAAUCUGCUUAUCCAAAAGCUCGAAAAAGAAUUGUAGCAGUGCUUCACAAGCUCCAAGUGUAACUAUGGAAAAGAUGCUGACAUCUGCUCAACUGGAAGCAUUUCAUUCGGAGUAUCGGUUGCCUGCUAGAUUGUUGCUUUGCUUAAUCAAGCAUCAUGGUAUUUUUUUACAUCACUAAUAAAGGUGCAAAGAUUACUGUACUCCUUAAAGAGGCUUAUGAUGGGUCAAAUUUGAUUGACAAAUGUCCUCUGAUUAUGGUAUUGGGAUGCCAUCAUAGAUUUUUAAGUGAAUAUUCUGUCCUUCUUGAAGUUCAUACAUCUAUCAUUGGCCUUGUCAUAUAAUAUCUUAUCCAUUGAAUCGAAAAGAUCUUGGUAACAUUCAAAGAUUCAUGUUGUUAGUCCUGUAUUUAGUUCUCGUUCCUAUUCUUAUCUUUUGUUUGCUUUAGUAACUAUAGUCACUCUUGUUUCCUUACAGUUUUUCCAUUCAUAAGACUCUGUCUAUCAUUUCGGAUUCGACUUGAAAUGCUAAAAGGAUCUUAGUUACAUUAUACAUGUAGAUUGUGAUAAUGUUGUGACAUACCAUCCGACCUAAUUUAUGUACUUUUUUUGGUGUGACGAGACGAAUCUGAGUCUUAUGCGAUCAACCAAAGUAACUUAAAAAGCAUAGCCCCUUGUCCCCUUCGGCCGGCUCCAGUUGGAGAUCCCAAAUGGUUUGGGGUGAUUCCGCCCAGUCGCCCACAGCCUAACACCAGUGUGCCCUGUUUUUUUUUUUUUUUAUCAAGCCAGUGUGACCUGUUGGAUAAUGAAAAAUUUACCCUGAUUUGUGUUGCAGUAACUUGAUGUUUGUGGGAUAUCAAAGGAUCUGCAAUAGAUAUGUUUGGACAAAUUGUCGCAAUCUGCUGAUACAUCACCCUAUAUCCAACAAAGAGGUGCACAUGAGGAUUCACUCUCCACUAACAAAAGGGACCACAAAAGCUGUGAAGGAAAUGUUAGUCGCUCCAACAAGUAAUGGACUCUAGCUUCACCAAACCUCUUUAUUAGUCAUAAGGCCAGAAUAUAUCUUCUUGAAUGCUUGUCUCCUUUAGCAUCAUGAAAAAUGCCUUUCUUCCUAAAGUGGAUAAUGUCCUUAUAUGUUAUUUAUUUGCAGUUCAUUGUCAGAGAUGUUAGAUUGAACAUGGAAGAGUUGGCUUUAUCUCAUGAAGACCCAUCUGGGUUGUCAUUGUAUUAGGUUUCUAUAAUGUCAUAAAAACAGCUCUAUUAGGUGGUUGAAUAGCACAAUCUAGUUUAUCAUAAAAGACACAGGCUAGCCCCUAAUGAUACGUAAGUUUUAC
This is an RNA transcript of Rhododendron vialii, 3307 nucleotides long. It is a transcript of the gene named protein WHAT'S THIS FACTOR 1 homolog, chloroplastic, with no coding region annotated. The record is from RefSeq and is a predicted model, not a curated record. Lineage: Eukaryota; Viridiplantae; Streptophyta; Magnoliopsida; Ericales; Ericaceae. The transcript has 3 exons.